GUCCUGGCCAUAAACUAUGCACACUAGGUGUGGGGGAGGUUUCUCCUCCGUGCCGAAGGUAACCCAUUAAGUGUGCCGCCUGGGGACUACGGCCGCAAGGUUGAAACUCAAAGAAAUUGACGGGGGCCCGCACAAGCGGUGGAGCAUGUGGCUCAAUUCGAAGCAACGCGAGGAACCUUACCAGGGUUUGACAUGGUUCGGACCGUCGGCGAAAGUCGAUUUUCCCGCAAGGGACCGUUUCACAGGUGCUGCAUGGCUGUCGU
RNAcentral lists this ribosomal RNA (263 nucleotides) under uncultured bacterium. RNAcentral describes it as "partial 16S ribosomal RNA". It matches the Rfam family "Bacterial small subunit ribosomal RNA", at positions 793 to 1055 of the family's 1533-position model. The record is from RNAcentral.